GGGAAGACUUAUGGUGUGCAGAUGAACCCAACAUAAUUGUUUUAAUAUGACUGGAGCAUACCAAAAAAACAGUUACAGCAGAUCAGCUGUAAGUUACUGAGAGGUCACGCACUGCCUGGACGCGGGAGCCAGGGCUGAUGUCAUCUUCCUGGACUUUAGGAAGACCUUUGACACAGUUUCGCACUCUAUCCUCAUUGGGAAGCUAGCAGACUGCAGAGUGGAUGCCUACAUGGUCAGGUUACAAAACACCUGGACGCAGGAGUAGGGGUUGACAUUGUUUACUUAGACUUCAGGAAGGCCUUCGAUAUGGUAUCCCACCCCAUACUGGUGAACAAGUUAAGAGGCUGUGACUUGGAUGACUGCACGGUCCGGUGAGUGGCGAAUUGGCUAGAGGGUCACACCCAGAGAGUUGU
This is a long non-coding RNA of Alligator mississippiensis (American alligator), 413 nucleotides long. RefSeq lists it as uncharacterized. NCBI's taxonomy places the organism in Eukaryota, Metazoa, Chordata, Crocodylia, Alligatoridae. The transcript is spliced from 3 exons. The record is from RefSeq and is a predicted model, not a curated record.